UCGCUCUCAUUCUGGACACGGCCGCAUG
RNAcentral lists this non-coding RNA (28 nucleotides) under Bombyx mori (domestic silkworm). Lineage: Eukaryota; Metazoa; Arthropoda; Insecta; Lepidoptera; Bombycidae. The record is from RNAcentral.